GACGAACGCUGGCGGCAUGCCUAACACAUGCAAGUCGAACGAGACCUUCGGGUCUAGUGGCGCACGGGUGCGUAACGCGUGGGAACCUGCCCUUAGGUUCGGAAUAACUCCCCGAAAGGGGUGCUAAUACCGGAUAAUGUCUUCGGACCAAAGAUUUAUCGCCUUUGGAUGGGCCCGCGUUGGAUUAGCUAGUUGGUAGGGUAAAAGCCUACCAAGGCGACGAUCCAUAGCUGGUCUGAGAGGAUGAUCAGCCACACUGGGACUGAGACACGGCCCAGACUCCUACGGGAGGCAGCAGUGGGGAAUAUUGGACGCUGGGCGAAAGCCUGAUCCAGCCAUGCCGCGUGAGUGAUGAAGGCCUUAGGGUUGUAAAGCUCUUUUACCCGGGAUGAUAAUGACAGUACCGGGAGAAUAAGCUCCGGCUAACUCCGUG
This 433-nucleotide ribosomal RNA is filed under the name uncultured bacterium. Its description in RNAcentral is "partial 16S ribosomal RNA". It matches the Rfam family "Bacterial small subunit ribosomal RNA", at positions 28 to 507 of the family's 1533-position model. The record is from RNAcentral.